RNAcentral lists this ribosomal RNA (853 nucleotides) under uncultured bacterium. RNAcentral's name for it is "bacterial SSU rRNA". It matches the Rfam family "Bacterial small subunit ribosomal RNA", at positions 28 to 896 of the family's 1533-position model. The record is from RNAcentral.
GACGAACGCUGGCGGCGUGCUUAACACAUGCAAGUCGAGCGAUGAAGCACCUUCGGGUGUGAAUUAGCGGCGAACGGGUGAGGAACACGUGAAGAAUCUGCCUUCAACUCUGGGAUAACUCCGGGAAACCGGGGCUAAUACCGGAUAUGAGCCUUGAUCGCAUGAUCGGGGCUGGAAAGUUUUUCGGUUGAAGAUGACUUCGCGGCCUAUCAGCUUGUUGGUGAGGUAAUGGCUCACCAAGGCGACGACGGGUAGCCGGCCUGAGAGGGCGACCGGCCACACUGGGACUGAGACACGGCCCAGACUCCUACGGGAGGCAGCAGUGGGGAAUAUUGGGCAAUGGAGGAGACUCUGACCCAGCGACGCCGCGUGAGGGAUGAAGGCCUUCGGGUUGUAAACCUCUUUCAGUAGGGAAGAAGCGAAAGUGACGGUACCUACAGAAGAAGCACCGGCUAACUAUGUGCCAGCAGCCGCGGUAAUACAUAGGGUGCAAGCGUUGUCCGGAAUUAUUGGGCGUAAAGAGCUCGUAGGUGGUUCGAUACGUCGGAUGUGAAAAUCAGGGGCUCAACCCCUGACCUGCAUCCGAUACGGUCGAGCUAGAGUUUGGUAGGGGAGACUGGAAUUCCUGGUGUAGCGGUGGAAUGCGCAGAUAUCAGGAGGAACACCGAUGGCGAAGGCAGGUCUCUGGGCCAAUACUGACACUGAGGAGCGAAAGCGUGGGGAGCGAACAGGAUUAGAUACCCUGGUAGUCCACGCCGUAAACGGUGGGCGCUAGUUGUGCGAACCUUCCACGGUUUGUGCGACGCAGCUAACGCAUUAAGCGCCCCGCCUGGGGAGUACGAUCGCAAGAUUA